Molecule: ribosomal RNA, 432 nt
Filed under: uncultured Klebsiella sp.
Lineage: Bacteria; Pseudomonadati; Pseudomonadota; Gammaproteobacteria; Enterobacterales; Enterobacteriaceae
Description: bacterial SSU rRNA
Rfam family: Bacterial small subunit ribosomal RNA
Source: RNAcentral
UGGCUCAGAUUGAACGCUGGCGGCAGGCCUAACACAUGCAAGUCGAGCGGUAGCACAGAGAGCUUGCUCUCGGGUGACGAGCGGCGGACGGGUGAGUAAUGUCUGGGAAACUGCCUGAUGGAGGGGGAUAACUACUGGAAACGGUAGCUAAUACCGCAUAACGUCGCAAGACCAAAGAGGGGGACCUUCGGGCCUCUUGCCAUCAGAUGUGCCCAGAUGGGAUUAGCUAGUAGGUGGGGUAAUGGCUCACCUAGGCGACGAUCCCUAGCUGGUUUGAGAGGAUGACCAGCCACACUGGAACUGAGACACGGUCCAGACUCCUACGGGAGGCAGCAGUGGGGAAUAUUGCACAAUGGGCGCAAGCCUGAUGCAGCCAUGCCGCGUGUAUGAAGAAGGCCUUCGGGUUGUAAAGUACUUUCAGCGAGGAGGAAG